RNAcentral lists this transfer RNA (69 nucleotides) under Spilogale angustifrons yucatanensis. RNAcentral describes it as "tRNA-Val". It matches the Rfam family "tRNA". From Rfam's summary of the family: Transfer RNA (tRNA) molecules are approximately 80 nucleotides in length. The record is from RNAcentral. Lineage: Eukaryota; Metazoa; Chordata; Mammalia; Carnivora; Mephitidae.
CAAAGUGUAGCUUAACUUAAAGCAUCUGGCUUACACCCAGAAGAUUUCAUACUGCUAUGACCACUUUGA